UUUUGGAUUCUUGCGGAACUUCUUUUGACAUUCCUAAAGGAGUAAUUUCUUAAGAAUUCCUACAAGGAAUAACUGCCUCAUUGGAAAUUAUUGUAGAAGUGUGGAAGGAUAAGGGGAUAUUACAACAACAAACAAGAAGAGGCUUCAUGAUCAUUUGAGUUAGAACUACAACCCAAAAAAUAAAUGUGAUGGGAGAAGGUGGAGGAGAAGGCCUUUAGAAGUUCUUAAUUUGCAGGUUCAUUUUUUUUUUGCUACUUUCAGAGGAGCAACUGAUAUAAAUUGAUGGUUUCAUUAUCAUUUAAUAGGUACUAAUUUGUCAUGUGCAGGCUUCAGAGGAGCAACUGAUUUUUUUGAACAAUCUAGGAGCGUGGGGGGAAACUCGUUCUUGAUCAUCUCAUGUAAGAAGUUUGAUUCUUGCUUUACCUAAAUGAGUAGCUGGACCUUACAAGACUGAAUAUCCUUUCACUGUCAGCACAGCUCUUUGAUUGA
This is a long non-coding RNA of Setaria italica (foxtail millet), 489 nucleotides long. RefSeq lists it as uncharacterized. The record is from RefSeq and is a predicted model, not a curated record. Lineage: Eukaryota; Viridiplantae; Streptophyta; Magnoliopsida; Poales; Poaceae. The transcript is spliced from 3 exons.